GGGCCCGCACAAGCGGUGGAGCAUGUGGUUUAAUUCGAUGCAACGCGAAGAACCUUACCUGGUCUUGACAUACACAGAAUCUUGUAGAGAUACCUUAGUGCCUUCGGGAACGCAGAGACAGGUGCUGCAUGGCUGUCGUCAGCUCGUGUUGUGAAAUGUUGGGUUAAGUCCCGCAACGAGCGCAACCCUUGUCCUUAGUUACCAGCGGGUUAAGCCGGGAACUCUAAGGAUACUGCCAGUGACAAACUGGAGGAAGGCGGGGACGACGUCAAGUCAUCAUGGCCCUUACGACCAGGGCUACACACGUGCUACAAUGGUAGGUACAGAGGGCAGCUACACAGCGAUGUGAUGCGAAUCUCAAAAAGCCUAUCGUAGUCCAGAUUGGAGUCUGCAACUCGACUCCAUGAAGUAGGAAUCGCUAGUAAUCG
Molecule: ribosomal RNA, 428 nt
Filed under: uncultured bacterium
Lineage: Bacteria
Description: bacterial SSU rRNA
Rfam family: Bacterial small subunit ribosomal RNA
Source: RNAcentral